This 311-nucleotide long non-coding RNA is filed under the name Solanum tuberosum (potato). RNAcentral's name for it is "long non-coding RNA (STUB_LNC001018)". Lineage: Eukaryota; Viridiplantae; Streptophyta; Magnoliopsida; Solanales; Solanaceae. The record is from RNAcentral.
AAGCAUUUCUAUAUUUUGCCAUCACUUCAUCAGAUGAAUGAAAUCCUUUUAGUUGUUGCAUUGUGCUGGUUUUGUACUUUAGAAGUAUUAGAAUGUCACAGAUUCAACAUUUACUCUCUAUAGCUUAUUGAAAUGUGAAAUAGUUACACGUGUUCAGUUUUCCUCCCAUUGAUUUUCUUCUAAAAAAGGAAAACUACAUAUCGGGGGAGAGAAGACGGAUGACUCAUGGGCUUAACUUCAUCUACAUCUACAAAUUGGGACAAGCUUGAUGUCAUGAAACAAGCAUGGGACGAACUCUGCAUCACAUNNNN